RNAcentral lists this ribosomal RNA (425 nucleotides) under uncultured bacterium. Its description in RNAcentral is "bacterial SSU rRNA". It matches the Rfam family "Bacterial small subunit ribosomal RNA", at positions 354 to 796 of the family's 1533-position model. The record is from RNAcentral.
GUGGGGAAUAUUGCACAAUGGGGGAAACCCUGAUGCAGCGACGCCGCGUGGAGGAAGAAGGUUUUCGGAUUGUAAACUCCUGUCUUCGGGGACGAUAAUGACGGUACCCGAGGAGGAAGCCACGGCUAACUACGUGCCAGCAGCCGCGGUAAAACGUAGGUGGCAAGCGUUGUCCGGAAUUACUGGGUGUAAAGGGAGCGCAGGCGGGUCGGCAAGUUGGAGGUGAAAGCUGUGGGCUCAACUCACAAACUGCCUUCAAAACUGCCGGUCUUGAGUGGUGUAGAGGUAGGCGGAAUUCCCGGUGUAGCGGUGGAAUGCGUAGAUAUCGGGAGGAACACCAGUGGCGAAGGCGGCCUACUGGGCACUAACUGACGCUGAGGCUCGAAAGCAUGGGUAGCAAACAGGAUUAGAAACCCUAGUAGUCC